This 251-nucleotide long non-coding RNA is filed under the name Ananas comosus (pineapple). RNAcentral describes it as "long non-coding RNA (ACOM_LNC025318)". The record is from RNAcentral. Lineage: Eukaryota; Viridiplantae; Streptophyta; Magnoliopsida; Poales; Bromeliaceae.
ACCACUUCCUUAUCCCUUAAAAAAAAAAAAAAAAACACAGUUAUUAUAUUACUAUUAUUAUAUUUUCAACUAAUAAAAUAAUUCCCAUUAAAUUUAUCCAUCAGAUCAUAUGAUUAAUAGAAAAAUAUUUUUACUGUACUUUCUCUUAAAAGGAGAGAUAUGAUUAUUUGUUACUGAUAACAUAGUGUAAGUAUGAUAUAAUAGACUUUCUCCUUAUCGCUUUUUCUCGCACGUGCCCCCGUGUAAUCUUC